RNAcentral lists this ribosomal RNA (103 nucleotides) under Jaculus jaculus (lesser Egyptian jerboa). The record is from RNAcentral. Lineage: Eukaryota; Metazoa; Chordata; Mammalia; Rodentia; Dipodidae.
UUCCUUGGUCAUACCACUGAACAUAACAGAAGCUAAGUUAGCAGGCCAGGCCUGGUUAGUACUUGGAUGGGAGACUGCUAGAGAAUAACUGGUACUACUGCCU